UGUGCAGCCGACGCUAUUGCAACGGACGCACCAUUACACUGAAUCUGUGCAACGCUCAUGAAACAAACGCACCAUGGUUGAGCUGUCAGUUUUUUUUUCCACUCGCGCGUGUUUGAUCGUGUCCGUGUCGGUGUUGGCGGUGUGGCUGUAUCCUCGUGAUUUGGCAACUUUUGGCGAUAGUCAAUGUGUCCAACGAGCAGCCGAAGGCAGUUCACCAGAUCCGCUGAGGGACGGAAUCGGGUCCGCUCCGCAAGGCGAAAAGUUUUCAGCAUCUUUGUAGUGAAGCUGUUUGUUUGCGGAAAAAUCCAACUUGAAGGAGGAAUACGACUGGAACUCGUCUAGUUCGUGCGAGGACGGCCAACAUGGAAAGCUGGUGCCGAUCUCGGCCGGAUGACGAACCAAGUACGACCGACUGACGCAGUGGUUCCGGAACUGGCGGUGGGGCAACGAACUGUCGACGAGUCUGUCCGGGUCUAGCUUGCGGGACAAGUGGUCCAGGUCAACGAGUUGGCGCGAAGAGGAGAGUGUCAUAGGCGAUGGGCCUGGAGGGCGGCCACUGCAUUCGUCGUCAGUGGGCGGUGGCUACAAACCUCGGAUGUCGGCUCUGAGUGGCGGAGAUCUCAACACGAGUGGAGGACCGGAAGGUGGCCUACGGCGUCACUGGGACGCCGAUGAUCAACUGCCGGAGUGGGCCACGGAGAACCCGGUAGCUUCGACGCGAGUGGACCAUUCCAUGACUCGGACAACGGCAUUGACGGGCGGCUGGAGGACGAUAGCGGGAUGGAGAAUCACGUGGAUCAUCGCUAUCACCAUCAACGCAAGGAAGGUGUGUCCGGUGGCAGUUCACGAAGAAGCGCCCCAUCGUCCAAGGAAGGUAGUGCCGCGAAGGAAGACUUGCCCAACCAUGCUGCGUUGUCGGCGAAAGCCUCGGAAGAGGUGGACCCCGGCAGCAGAAAGAAGUCUGAACCGGUACGGAACGCUACGGCGGAUGAAAAGCCUCCAAAAGCCAGCGAAUCGGAAUCCCGGCGUCCGAGAUGGCGUUCCCGGCGUCCCGCAACUGCUGCAACUAUUCCCGGUCGCCGACAGGAUCCCGUGGUUUCUUCAAAAACAUCUUGAGCUGAAAAGUGGGACGAGUUGGCAAGGUUGCGAACCCGUUCCCGGUGUUGAAUGACCAGAUCCAAUGAGUGACCGAUCCGGAAUAGCGACGAGGAGUGCUUUUGUAAAAUCGGGCCUAUUCCACUGAGGAUUGUGCUUCAUAAAUACGCGAGAGUUCAUCCCAAGUACGACGCAGUAGUUCCGGCACCGGCUACAAACAUUUCGAACAACUUCAGAAAGUUCGGAUUGAAGCAGAAUAUUAAAAGAAAACGACGCGGAAAAAAAGUACUAUUUUUUUUUAAAUUAACGAAAAAAACUAUAAAAAUACAAUAAAACUUACCAUAUUGACCAUUAAUUUCAAUGCAUAAAUAUAUGUUUUACAGUACAAUUUAGUGGAGAGAAAAAAAUAAAUACAAUGAAAAUACAAUAAAUCAUACUGUAGUUAUUAUUUAUUUCAAUGUACGAAUAUAGUUUAAACCGUACUAUUUAGUAUGGAAAAAUCCAUGAAGAACUGUGAAUUAACUGUGCAAACCAUUGUAAUGGUUACUGUUUUUAUUAUAAAUGUAUGAUGUUUUCUAUGGUCAGGGUAAUUUUUUGGACGGGAAAGGCAUCAAUGAAAAUACGAUAGAAUGUAUAGUUUUUGGUUUUUUUUUGUAUGGGGAAAAGUCGAAAUUUUUAUGGUGACUGUGCCUAACAAUACCCCUUUUUUAUAGUAAAUUCCCGAAAUAGGAUAUAUUCUAUGGUGAAAAAACAUAAAGGCUACUGUAGAAUCAUGGUAAAAAUAACCAUAGAAUUUAUCGUGUGAUAACCAUAAAAUCUACUGUAGGUUUAUAGUAAAUCUUUAUGCGGGUUCCCGCAUAAAGAUUUCUGAUGAACUUACAGUAAAUUUUAACGUUACAAAACGAUAAAAUAUAUUGUCAUUUUGACAGUGUUUUAACAGUAGACAGCAUCGUUUUUUAAGAUAAUUUGCGUCGUAUUUUGGGAUUUUACCAUAAAAAAGGGGGGUUGUUAUGCACCGGUACCAUAAAAAUUUCGAAAUUUUUCCAUACAUUUUUUUUCCAAAUACGACGCAUUUUACUGUUAAUCUAAUGUUGCAUU
Culex pipiens pallens (northern house mosquito) is the source of this 2193-nucleotide long non-coding RNA. RefSeq lists it as uncharacterized. The record is from RefSeq and is a predicted model, not a curated record. The transcript is spliced from 3 exons. NCBI's taxonomy places the organism in Eukaryota, Metazoa, Arthropoda, Insecta, Diptera, Culicidae.